CCUCACAAAAGUUACUUGUAGUAUCUCGAAAAGUUGUUCACAAUACAUAAUAACUGGACUUGUAUAGAAGUAGGAAAGAUGCAGAAUUGAGGCUAAAACUUAUCAACAAUAUCAUCACCUCACUUUUCUUAUCAAGCCAUUCAAGAAUAUAAGAAAAUGUAUGGCUUAAGAAUCAGAAUUCAAUGACAGCAACCAUAUUUAUGGAAAGAAAAAAAUAUAUAAAAAACCUGCAAAAUAAAACUCCAAUGAAUAAACUUCCAAUUGACAGCAUGAACACUAAUAUCUGUUGUUGCCUCUGCACAAACUUUUUCAUAACUGUUUUCCAAUAACAACAGCAGUAGCAGAAUUAGGCCAAGAAAAAAGGAUCUUCAAAAAAAGCUGAUGAUAGAAGAAAUUAUAGAAAGAAAGACUUAGACUGUAAGUGAAAAAUUGACCUUGCACAUCUAAAAUGUAAGAUAAAUGAUAUGAAUGUAGAAAUAUAAUGAAUAAACUUCCAUAAUGUUCACGGUACACAUGCGAAAAGCAAGUCAAAAAUAGAAAGAGAAAAAAUAAAAUAACUAUUCAUGAUGAUGUUGGUAGUCCAACAAAUACAAAACUGGAUCGAAAAUUGAAUAUAUUACUUUUAUUCUAUCCCUAAUUGCCUUCAACAAUAUUGGUCAUCUUUAAGAAAAUGGUUAUAAUUAAUAAAUCAAUGCUAAUUAUUUCUUUUUAUCAAUUGACACUCGGAAAAAUUUCUAUGCGGAAUAGAGAAGCUCCUAAAAUACCACAAGUUAAAAAUUAAUAAUGGCAGCGAGCAAUCCAAAAGCAUAUCACUCAUUGCAUAUACUUUGGAAAAAGCAAGUUUUCAUCCGAUCAUUCUAAGCUCAACUUUUUUCUAUUCUUUAUGUUGCUCUAGUUCUAAAGACUAAGACUUGAUGUUUAAUCCUACCUUACCAAAAAAAAAGCACUUAAUGUUUAAUCCAAAGCACAAUCUAAUAACUAAAUUUUGCAUUCAUAACCUACUCAAAAUAAAGCAGUAGAUAAAUGACGAUGAGAGGAACUUACUUGAGAUGCUUCCUAUACCACCCAACAUAUCUUGAUGAGCCUCGUAUAGCCACUAAUUUAUUUUCAUCUUUGUACCUCGCAAAUCAGCCAUGUGCAAUCCCCGGGAAAAUCUUCACAGAUGUAUGUUUAAAACUUCUAUGAGGUUUAACUAGUUUAUAUAGUGACAUCUUAUUAGUUUAAUAUUUUUAAAUAAGACUACUUGGAACAUUACAAUGCCAAUUUUCCUUCUACUUGUUUGAAUUUGUAAUUUUGAACAUCAUAUAGCUACCUCAAAGACUCCACAAGUUCACUAUCAUAUUCAUAUUCAAACACAACUAAUAUAGAAAACACAUGAACGCAAAAAUUUUCUUCAUAAGGAGGCACACUAAAAUUUCAAGUUUCUCUACACGUACACAAUUCAAUCUAGAUCAUUGCCUAUUCGGUGAUUUCAUAACUAUUUACUCAUCAACCUCUUUCUCAUCUAUUUUCACGGUUGUUCAGUAACAUCUUUCGGCCGAACAAUAUUUACCAUAGCACUAUCACGCCACUUCAUAAUUUAGCGAUUCCACUCAUUUUUCUUUUUUUCCACAUAUAAAACAUCAAUCGUUGAUUUGAAAUGAAGGCAUCUUAUAUUAUUUAUUUUUCUCUGCUUGGAACAUUACAAUGCCAAUUUUCCUUCUACUUGUUUGAAUUUGUAACUUCGAACAUCACAGAGCGACCUCAAAGACUCCACAAAUUCACUACCACAUUCAUAUUCACACGCAACUAAUAUAGAAAACACAUGAACGCAAACCUUUUCUUCAUAAGGAGGUACACUAAAAUUGUAAAUUUCUUUGCACAUACACACUUUAAUCUAGACCAUUACCUAUUCGGUGAUUUCAUAACCAUUUACUUAUCAACCUCUUUCUCACCUAUUUCUACGGUUGUUCAGUCAAAUCUUUCGGCCGAAUAACCUUAUUUACCAUAGCACUAUCACUGAAUAGUAAAAUAUUCACUGAGUAUUUUAUACACUGCAGAUAACACACAAAAUCAGAUGAAGAUCCUUAUUCAAUAAGAGAACAUUAAGUACUUUGUUAAAUUCCCCGAUCAUUUAAACCUAUAUCAAUAAAAUAACAUUUAUCAAAACAUAUGUAACAGUAGAUUAAUUUGCUUUUUUUACAAUCAUUGCCUACAUACGCAAACAGACAGAUUGUGAAGUGAUGUUUGAGGAGGAACACUCUUGAUUCUCUUAUUAACACCUUCCUUCAUUCGUCUUGUAUCCUUUUGUUUGUUGUACCAAUCAAUCAUUAAAAAGCUUCGCAUCAUCAUCCAACUCAAUUAUUUUGGCGAAAGUCAAAAUCGUAUAUCAAAUUUCAUCUACCAAAUUGGUUUGGUUAUACUAAAAUUCAAUUCAAGUUUCAAAUAGAAGAUAAAUAAAUUUAAAAUAAGGAGAACAAGAACCUGUUUCUAUGUGAUAAACUUCAGAUUUCAUGCCUACAACCACCAAUUAGGUAGUCUUCUUUCAUAAUCUGUCAUCAAAAUUGGUGGUUCUUCGAUCUGGUAAUUAGUUGUACAAAUCUCCUCCCAGAACAAUUUAUGGUUCUUAGAUCUGGUCAUCAUUUGAUGAAAUUAGAUGAGUUUUAAACUUCUCCCAAGAAGAGAACACUGAUUGUUGCAGCAGUUUUCGCUAGGUUAAUUUGUUACCCUUUUUAUGCUUAAUUUUGCAAUUUCGUGGGAU
This 2740-nucleotide long non-coding RNA is filed under the name Nicotiana tabacum (common tobacco). RNAcentral's name for it is "long non-coding RNA (NTAB_LNC015683)". Lineage: Eukaryota; Viridiplantae; Streptophyta; Magnoliopsida; Solanales; Solanaceae. The record is from RNAcentral.